UGGAGGUCGGGUGCCGGCAGUUGGGCGCUCGCGGGGUUCCCCCUGGAGUCGGCACGCGGGCUGGAGAGGGGGGCACGGAAGCCCCACACUGUGCCGCACGCUGCCGAUUUCGAUUGUCACUACAGGAAAUUUAAUUAAACUGGGAGCCAUAAAUCCGUGAACCUCUGGGGGCAAAUUAUAAGCAAUUAAGAUGCUCUGGUUUCAAGGAAAUAGCAUGCAACUUGCCAAACACUCCUUUCAACUGCUCUUGAGAAAUCUAUCUGCCUCCAAGACUGCUCUGCCUGUGCUAACCUUAUUCACAAAGGAUCCGUGCCCCCUCUGUGAUGAAGCCAAGGAAGUACUGGAGCCUUAUAAAAACAGGUUUAUUUUACAGGAGGUGGACAUCACACUUCCAGAAAACUCUGCUUGGUAUGACAGAUAUAAAUUUGACAUCCCCGUCUUUCAUUUGAAUGGCCAGUUUCUGAUGAUGCAUCGAGUAGACGUCUCAAAACUUGAAAAACAGCUCCAGAAACUUGAGCAGCAAGGUGCAGGAGGCUGAUGAACGCCCUCAGGAUUUUCCACCCUCUCUGUCCAGAACUCAUUUUCCUGAGGAAAUGACUGUGGCCUCAUGCUCCUUUUGCCACUUUCACACAGCUCUAAGGAUGUUCUGAACUCAGUGGUGCCAAAUAAAUGAAGAUGAAAUCAAAGAGAUGUGCUCCAGCUAGCCUGGAAGGAGGCAAACAUGCUUCCUUCCAUGUUGUGAACUGCCAACAAGCCAAGAAACUGUGGGCAACCUCUAGGAGCUGAGAGUAGUUCCUGGCCAACAGCCAGCAGGAAAAUGGAGACCUCAGUCCUACAGCUUCAAGGAGAUGAAUCCUGUCAACAAUUAGUGAUCCUAGAAGAGAACCAUGAAACCCAGACCCAGAAAGCUGGAGGCCAUCUUACAACUUCAUCACUCAAGGGACCACACUCCUGCCCUUCCCUGCUUCUCCCACCUUGCCCCACACCAGCCCCAGAAGGAUCUUGCUCCUGCCAGGAGCAAGAAGAGAAAGACCUUCCCCUUCCACAGCUGCCCACCUUCAAGUGGCUUCUCACUGGGAUAAGGGUAAGACUUAAUUUUCAACCAAGUUCCACAUUAUAUAACACGGGAAUAGAUGCACUAAACAGUAUUUAGAGUGACCAAGGACUUUCUGUUGCCUAAGAAUGCUCGAAACUGUCCUAACACUACCUAGUUUUUAUUUUAUCCUAGACAGAGUGAGAAACUCCCCAGUGAAUACAUUUUAUAGGGAUAGUGGGAGACAUAAAUAAAAAUGCUUCCUAAUUGUAUUCCAUAUUCAGAGCUUUGAUUACAUGUGCCUAAUGUUUUUUACCUAAAGAUCUUCAAUGAAUUUAAUUUUGAGAGAGGAAUAUGGUCAUGUGACUAAGAAUCCUGGAGACUUUCAGUAAUCCAUCUGGUCCCAACAGCUGGCAAACGGAAAGGCAGCUAUCUAGAAACAUGUCAUCUAAAAACGUGGUGUGAUUAUCCCACUGUUGAUAAGCAUCAGACAAUGUUAUGUCACUUAUAGUCAUUUUCCUAUGAUAUUUGUAGCAGCAAUUACUUUUCCUUUCUAAAAUUAUGUUUAGGGAUUGAUUUGUUUUUAAAUAAAGACUGAUUUUGACACAAGAAGCUCAUAAUAUUCUCCCAGUCCCAAAGGAAAUAGUGAUAUAACCUCUUUUUUUCCUAAGCUAAUGCUUUAAAAAGAAGUGGUAUUAACAUUGAGUUUGGGACUGCAUAUUGCUGCUCUUGAUUACAGUGCUGCUUUCUUCCAGAUGUCUCAUCAUAACAUCAUAAGGGCUUACCGGAACACAUAACUCUUUGGCCAAUUUAUUGAAGGAAGCAGAGGUUCACUCAGAUGAGGGUUAUUUUGUUUGUUUGCUUAUAAUAAUGCAGAGACUCAUAGAAACCUGACAAUAGGAAUCACAGUAGGGCCAGGCCUCAGGAAAUACUCUUAGAGAGCCACAGAAGGGAUGCAAUGUACAACGCAAUAAAUAUAAUGAACACUGCUGUAUGUUACGUAUGAAAGUUGUUAAGGCAGUAAAUCCUAAGAAUUCUCAUCACAAGGAAAAAAUUUUUUUUCCUUUUAUUUUGUAUCUAUAUGAGAAGAUAGAUGUUCAACAAAACUUACUGUGGUAAUCAUUUCAUGAUGUAUGUAAGUCAAAUCAU
Lagenorhynchus albirostris (white-beaked dolphin) is the source of this 2182-nucleotide RNA transcript. It is a transcript of the gene named chromosome 3 C5orf63 homolog, with no coding region annotated. The transcript has 6 exons. The record is from RefSeq and is a predicted model, not a curated record. Lineage: Eukaryota; Metazoa; Chordata; Mammalia; Artiodactyla; Delphinidae.